GCUCCAGCGCCAUCCAUUUUCAAGGCUAGAUGAUUCGGCAGGUGAGUUGUUACACACUCCUUAGCGGAUUGCGACUUCCAUGGCCACCAUCCUGCUGUCUAUAUCAACCAACACCUUUUCUGGGGUCUGAUGAGCAUCGGCCUCGGGCGCCUUAACCCAGCAUUCGGUUCAUCCCGCAGCGCCGGUUCUGCUUACCAAAAGUGGCCCACUAGGCACUCACAUUCCAUGCCCGGCUCCAUGCCAGUGAGCCAGGCUUCUUACCCAUUUAAAAUUUGAGACUAGGUUGAGAUCGUUUCAGCCCCAAGACCUCUAAUCAUUCGCUUUACCGGAUAAAACUGCGUGGGUUCGUGUGCGAGAGCGCCAGCUAUCCUGAGGGAAACUUCGGAGGGAACCAGCUACUAGAUGGUUCGAUUAGUCUUUCGCCCCUAUACCCAGGUCGGAUGACUGAUUUGCACAUCAGGACCGCUACAGACCUCCACCAGAGUUUCCUCUGGCUUUGCCCGGACCAGGCAUAGUUCAUCAUCUUUCGGGUCCUAACACGUGCGCUCAUGCUCCACCUCCCCGGCGCGUCGGGUGAGAUGGGCCGGUGUGCGCCCUCAGCGGACUGGAGAGGCCUCGGGAUCCCACCUCGGCCAUCGAGCAGCGCCAGCCUUCACCUUCAUUGUGCCACAAUGGCUUUUGUGCGAGCCCCUGACUCGCGCACGUGUUAGACUCCUUGGUCCAUGUUUCAAGAUGGGUCGGGUGGGUGGCCGACAUCGCUGCUGACCCUGUGCGCUCACUUCGCUGUGCUUUGGUCACAGCGUGGUGCCUGGAAACCCCCCAGGCCCGACGGCGUGACCCGCCCGGGGCCUACUGGGGACAGUCUGCCCCGCCCCCCCCCCCGCGGCGGGGAUUCGGCGCUGGGCUCUUCCCUGUUCACUCGCCAUUACUGAGAGAAUCCUGGUUAGUUUCUUUUCCUCCACUGACUAAUAUGCUUAAAUUCAGCGGGUCGCCACGUCUGAUCUGAGGUAGCAUCUCGGAGGGCGCCAGGGGCUCGAGGGGCGCGAGGCCAGAAGAGGGCAAGGAGAG
RNAcentral lists this long non-coding RNA (1068 nucleotides) under Ursus americanus (American black bear). RNAcentral's name for it is "lncRNA (ENSUAMG00000023902.1)". Lineage: Eukaryota; Metazoa; Chordata; Mammalia; Carnivora; Ursidae. The record is from RNAcentral.